AACAUUUUAUUAAAUCUUACAAGGAGAGGCCGCGGUCUGGGAAAUGAACUUUGGAAUCGGGUUUUGUGUGGUGGUGGUUUGCCCUUCAUGUGUUAAUAUGAUGAAGUGUUGGCGUGCACUAUUCGGCCAACUCCGAGGGGGAUGGAUUCAAAGUUUUCAUGGCUGUUGUAUAAUGGAAAGAAGGUGGGACUAUUUCGGAGCGCUGAGUAGCCGAGUCGAUAGCGCGCUGGCCGCUGUUGCUGAAUUCCUGGAUGUCCUCGGGUUCGAUGCGUGGUCCGUGAUUGUUUUUUUUUUUCGUUGCC
This 302-nucleotide long non-coding RNA is filed under the name Androctonus crassicauda. Lineage: Eukaryota; Metazoa; Arthropoda; Arachnida; Scorpiones; Buthidae. The record is from RNAcentral.